UUCCUCAAUGCUUCAGAUUUAGCUUCAGAUGUAACAAGCUUUGUAGAUAGAAAGGCUAGAUAAACAGGGCGGUUUGACCCUACUCAAAAAAUACUUCCUUCCAUAAUCAAUGAAACUAGCAAAUCCUGACUUUGCUAACCACAAAGUUGCCAAUUUCUUCCAUAGUGAAUUGGUUCCUUGCUAUGUAUAGCAUAAGAGUUGUGGGAGACAAAAAGAUAUGCAUGAUCAAUGAAC
Molecule: long non-coding RNA, 234 nt
Filed under: Elaeis guineensis (African oil palm)
Lineage: Eukaryota; Viridiplantae; Streptophyta; Magnoliopsida; Arecales; Arecaceae
Description: long non-coding RNA (EGUI_LNC038221)
Source: RNAcentral